This 259-nucleotide long non-coding RNA is filed under the name Gossypium barbadense (sea-island cotton). RNAcentral's name for it is "long non-coding RNA (GBAR_LNC015986)". Lineage: Eukaryota; Viridiplantae; Streptophyta; Magnoliopsida; Malvales; Malvaceae. The record is from RNAcentral.
UUAUUUUUCGUCCACACAGGCUGAGACACGGGCAGAGACACGGGUGUGUGUCUCAGUCAUGUGUGACACACGGCCAAAUGACACAGCCGUGUUCCCCUGUAUCUUUUAAGAAUGCAAGUCAGUAUGCUCACACGGCCUAGCACACGGGCGUGUGACUUGGCCGUGUGACCCAAGUCAGAGAGUUACACGGGUACGGACAUGAGCUAGACACGGCCAUGUGUCCUUAUCUCGAAUGCCCACACGGCCUGAGACAUGGGCG